Molecule: ribosomal RNA, 253 nt
Filed under: uncultured bacterium
Lineage: Bacteria
Description: partial 16S ribosomal RNA
Rfam family: Bacterial small subunit ribosomal RNA
Source: RNAcentral
UACGUAGGGUGCAAGCGUUGUCCGGAUUUAUUGGGCGUAAAGAGCUCGUAGGCGGUUUGUCGCGUCGGAUGUGAAAACCCAGGGCUCAACCCUGGGCCUGCAUUCGAUACGGGCAAACUAGAGUAUGGCAGGGGAGACUGGAAUUCCUGGUGUAGCGGUGAAAUGCGCAGAUAUCAGGAGGAACACCGGUGGCGAAGGCGGGUCUCUGGGCCAAAACUGACGCUGAGGCGCGAAAGCGUGGGGAGCGAACAGG